GAUGAACGCUGGCGGCGUGCCUAAUACAUGCAAGUCGAGCGAAUGGAUUAAGAGCUUGCUCUUAUGAAGUUAGCGGCGGACGGGUGAGUAACACGUGGGUAACCUGCCCAUAAGACUGGGAUAACUCCGGGAAACCGGGGCUAAUACCGGAUAACAUUUUGAACCGCAUGGUUCGAAAUUGAAAGGCGGCUUCGGCUGUCACUUAUGGAUGGACCCGCGUCGCAUUAGCUAGUUGGUGAGGUAACGGCGCACCAAGGCAACGAUGCCGAGCCAACCUGAGAGGGUGAUCGGCCACACUGGGACUGAGACACGGCCCAGACUCCUACGGGAGGCAGCAGUAGGGAAUCUGCCGCAAUGGACGAAAGUCUGACGGAGCAACGCCGCGUGAGUGAUGAAGGCUUUCGGGUCGUAAAACUCUGUUGUUAGGGAAGAACAAGUGCUAGUUGAAUAAGCUGGCACCUUGACGGUACCUAACCAGAAAGCCACGGCUAACUACGUGCCAGCCGCCGCGGUAA
This 515-nucleotide ribosomal RNA is filed under the name uncultured bacterium. RNAcentral's name for it is "partial 16S ribosomal RNA". It matches the Rfam family "Bacterial small subunit ribosomal RNA", at positions 28 to 523 of the family's 1533-position model. The record is from RNAcentral.